This 253-nucleotide ribosomal RNA is filed under the name uncultured bacterium. Its description in RNAcentral is "partial 16S ribosomal RNA". It matches the Rfam family "Bacterial small subunit ribosomal RNA", at positions 524 to 776 of the family's 1533-position model. The record is from RNAcentral.
GACGAACCGAGCGAACGUUGUUCGGAAUCACUGGGCUUAAAGGGCGCGUAGGCGGGCUGUCAAGUCUGGGGUGAAAUGCCGCGGCUCAACCGUGGAACUGCCUUAGAUACUGACGGCCUCGAGGGAGGUAGGGGCGUGCGGAACUGUAGGUGGAGCGGUGAAAUGCGUUGAUAUCUACAGGAACUCCGGUGGCGAAAGCGGCGCGCUGGACCUCUUCUGACGCUGAGGCGCGAAAGCUAGGGGAGCAAACGGG